UAAUUUUUCAAUCUUCUGCACCAAAGCCCUCCCAAAUGCGUAUAAAUGGGAAGUGAAUUUUUCCUCAAGGCUGCGAGUCUGUGAAAGCGCCCCUGGAAACUCUGAACCAAUCGCUCAAAUCAAUUGUCUCUCUCUGGUAUUGUCCAUUUUUCGUUUUGUUUUGAUGGACCCAGGUAAUGUUCUUUAGCCGCCCACCUAGGGUUUCGUAUUGAGCCGCCGAGUAGGGUUUCAUGUUCUUUUUAUAAAGCCUCGACCUUUCUUCGAUUCUUUUCGUCACUUUUUAAUUCCCAGAACUUUAAUCGCAUUUCCAGUCAAUCGAUUCAAACUGUGAUUUGAAUCUUCCGUGGUUGUGGUGGUGAGCCUUUUUCCUUCCAACUGGAAUUCCGUUAUUCUUGGCUUGAUUAAGUAAUUUUUAGGCUUCGUCGCUAUGAAAUCUCAUCUGGGAUAUGGCUGAUAUGGCUGAAUUUUGAGUAUUUGGUUUCUAGGGUUAUUGAAUUUAACGGUGCAAAAAGCCAAUUGGGUAUGUUUCAGUAGUUUGAUUUUGGGCCUUUUGAAUCUGUUGGGAAUUGCGAUUUUCCACCUGCUUAUUGUUUAAUUCCCGCCAAGAAUGAAUCUUGGGCUCAAAACUUCAUCUGGGUCAAUUUAAAACCACUAAUUUGUUACCUUUCCACAAGACUUGGCACUUUGCUUGGUGGGUUUUGAUAUUGUAAUGGACGACGGGGAGCUCGAUUUCUCGAACCAGGAAAUGUUUUCAAGUACGAAUAUGGGGGAGCUUCCGAAUAGUUGCUCGAUGGACAGUUUCUUUGAUGAACUUCUCAAGGACACCCAUGCUUGCACUCACACUCACACUUGCAACCCACCCGGCCCUGAUUCUUCGCAUACCCACACCUGCUUUCAUGUACACACUAAAAUUGUUCCGGCAUCAAGUGAGGAAAAGGCUGCGACGGAUGAUACUGCAGAGUCCACCGAAAAGAAAGGGAAGAAAGUGAAACGACCGUUAGGCAAUCGGGAAGCGGUUCGCAAGUACCGUGAGAAGAAGAAGGCUCGAGCUGCAUCAUUGGAAGACGAGGUUGUGAGAUUACGGGGUUUGAAUCAGCAGUUGUUGAAGAGGUUGCAGGGUCAAGCUGCGUUGGAAGCGGAGAUUGCAAGGCUGAAGUGUUUGCUUGUGGACAUUCGAGGAAGAAUCGAAGGGGAGAUUGGAUCGUUCCCAUAUCAAAAACCGGUCAACCCCCCCAUCUUUCCUAAUCAGAACAUGGCUGGUGCAUAUGUGAUGAACCCAUGUAACAUGCAGAGUGGAGACCAGGUCUAUUGUCUUCAUCCAGUGGCGGAUGGCAAAAGUGGAGAAGACGCAACAUUAAACGGCCAAGGCUUUAGUGGCUGUGAGUUUGAGAAUCCCCAGUGUUUGGCAAAUCAGAAUUCGGUAUCCAAGGAGCUUCCUGGUUGUGCUGUUGGGAAUGAAGUAUCCGAUGUCAAUUCAUCCGGCACAAAUAAGAGGAAAGCAGCGCAAAUUGAUGACUCUGACAGCAGUGUAGUCUGUUUUCACCCUGUGGGGAAUACUUUAAUAACUUGUUAAGAGCAUGGGGCUUAUUAUUGUGGCAAUCAACUGAUGGCUAUUGGGUCAAGCAAUUUAGCUAGUUGUAACGGGAGGAGCUCGGGCAGCCAGAGCAAGUUGAAGAGCUGACUAUUUGUCAUUGUGUUUAUCCUCGAGGGUACAUAUGGUCUACCAAUAAGUAGUUUUGUUGGACUGCAGCAUCGUCAUUUUGUGAUUUAUUCUCUGUUUCAUUUUGUACCCACUGUUGGGUUAUUGGGGGUGCCAUGGGCUAUCUAUAUCAAGCAUGAGAUUUGCUGGGCUUGCUGCUGUUUUAGCAAGUGUUUUGGUAACUUUAUGGCUUUGUAAAGUGGAGAGUUUAGUAGAUGUAUAAUGUAGUUCGUGGAACUUGUGGUUGAGGUCAACUUUAUGAUUUUCUAUGAAGUUGAAUGCCCUUCAGUCUCAGCUUUAGUAAUAUUCUAUACGGCCGCACACAUACGUCGGUCAAUUAAAAUGGUA
RNA transcript from Carya illinoinensis, 2047 nucleotides. It is a transcript of the gene named basic leucine zipper 23-like, with no coding region annotated. NCBI's taxonomy places the organism in Eukaryota, Viridiplantae, Streptophyta, Magnoliopsida, Fagales, Juglandaceae. The transcript is spliced from 3 exons. The record is from RefSeq and is a predicted model, not a curated record.